RNAcentral lists this transfer RNA (72 nucleotides) under Bos taurus (domestic cattle). It matches the Rfam family "tRNA". From Rfam's summary of the family: Transfer RNA (tRNA) molecules are approximately 80 nucleotides in length. Their secondary structure includes four short double-helical elements and three loops (D, anti-codon, and T loops). The record is from Rfam by way of RNAcentral. RNAcentral also lists the same sequence under 4 other names. Lineage: Eukaryota; Metazoa; Chordata; Mammalia; Artiodactyla; Bovidae.
UCUCUGGUGGCUCAGAUGGUAAAGAAUUUGCUUGCAAUGCAGGAGACUCAGGUUCAGUCCCUGGCUUGGGAA